Clupea harengus (Atlantic herring) is the source of this 690-nucleotide long non-coding RNA. NCBI's taxonomy places the organism in Eukaryota, Metazoa, Chordata, Actinopteri, Clupeiformes, Clupeidae. The record is from Ensembl.
GCAGCAGCGCUGCAGCAAUUUUGGAUGCCUGGGAAAUGGGAGAGAGGUAGAGGGGGUGGGGAAGUUAAGCGAAUCCCCAUGCGUAAGAGAGUUGUCCAACUUUUGUCAAGAGAUUAAAGUAACGGCUUAGGUAUUUUACGGUCUUGUGUUCGGCAUUAGGUCGCUUGCUCUGAAAAGAUUCUGGAGUAUUUUCAAAUGUCUUGAUUGCACCGAUUAGUCCCUUAGCCUUUGACGAAGUCUUCUGGGCAAGACUCCCACUGUGAGGAAAGCCACACAGGCAUCAGAGACAUGACAGGCUCUCUCCUAGCCCUAUAGGGAGGAAAAGACGCAGACAUCCAUGGUUGUCACGGUUACAUAACCCCAGUCCUGGCGAACUCUUAAGCAUUCUUAAGGGUCAGUCCCAGCAUUCCCUGCUUUCCCGGCAUGAUAUACGAGUUUGGAUCCAUCUCAUAGAACCACUAAUCCGGUUCUUUGUGCUAUCUUCCAUGACUUUUAAAUCAAAUGUGACGGCAAUAACAAGACAUAUGGCCAUCUUUCAUUUCCAGCUCUAAGCUGUGCUGACUGCAGUGAGGUUCCAUCCAUGAACAUGGCAGAGUUAGGGCGUGGAGGAGCUCCUUCACCAGACUGGACCUGGAUCUGUUCUGGCACACUUUCAAACCAAAACUACAGGUCAUUAAGACAUAAGGGAUU